GAUGAAGAACGUAGCGAAAUGCGAUACGUAAUGUGAAUUGCAGAAUUCAGUGAAUCAUCGAGUCUUUGAACGCACAUUGCGCCCCCUGGUAUUCCGGGGGGCAUGCCUGUCCGAGCGUCAUUGCUGCCCUCAAGCACGGCUUGUGUGUUGGGCCUCCGUCCUCCUCCCGGGGGACGGGCCCGAAAGGCAGCGGCGGCACCGCGUCCGGUCCUCGAGCGUAUGGGGCUUCGUCACCCGCUCUUGUAGGCCCGGCCGGCGCUUGCCGACACAUCAAUCUUUUUUCCAGGUUGACCUCGGAUCAGGUAGGGAUACCCGCUGAACUUAAGCAUAUCAAUAAGCGGAGA
Molecule: unclassified non-coding RNA, 344 nt
Filed under: soil metagenome
Description: partial contains 5.8S ribosomal RNA, internal transcribed spacer 2, and large subunit ribosomal RNA
Rfam family: 5.8S ribosomal RNA (bases 1-120)
Source: RNAcentral